RNAcentral lists this ribosomal RNA (295 nucleotides) under uncultured bacterium. Its description in RNAcentral is "partial 16S ribosomal RNA". It matches the Rfam family "Bacterial small subunit ribosomal RNA", at positions 333 to 642 of the family's 1533-position model. The record is from RNAcentral.
UCGUCCCUAUGGGAGGCAGCAGUGGGGAAUAUUGGGCAAUGGGCGCAAGCCUGACCCAGCAAUGCCGCGUGAAGGAAGAAGGCCCUCGGGUUGUAAACUUCUUUUAUCAGGGACGAAGGAUGUGACGGUACCUGAUGAAUAAGCUCCGGCUAACUACGUGCCAGCAGCCGCGGUAAUACGUAGGGAGCAAGCGUUAUCCGGAUUUACUGGGUGUAAAGGGCGCGUAGGCGGGAUGGCAAGUCAGACGUGAAAUCCGGGGGCUCAACCCCUGAACUGCAUUUGAAACUGUCGUUCU